UUUUGGAUAGCUCAGUGGGUAGAGCGAUUGGUCGAAAAACCAAUAAGUCGCGAGUUCGAGUCUCGCUCCAAAACCCA
RNAcentral lists this transfer RNA (77 nucleotides) under Azoarcus sp. RNAcentral's name for it is "tRNA-Phe". It matches the Rfam family "tRNA". Rfam says of the family: Transfer RNA (tRNA) molecules are approximately 80 nucleotides in length. Their secondary structure includes four short double-helical elements and three loops (D, anti-codon, and T loops). Lineage: Bacteria; Pseudomonadati; Pseudomonadota; Betaproteobacteria; Rhodocyclales; Zoogloeaceae. The record is from RNAcentral.